Molecule: unclassified non-coding RNA, 217 nt
Filed under: uncultured Polyporales
Lineage: Eukaryota; Fungi; Basidiomycota; Agaricomycetes; Polyporales
Description: sequence contains ITS2
Source: RNAcentral
AAUUCUCAACCUUUGAAGCUUUUUUUGAGCUCGCAAAGGCUUGGACUUGGAGGUCGUGUCGGCUCGUAACAAAGUCGACUCCUCUGAAAUGUAUUAGUGUGAAACCUUCGCAGGAUCGCCUUCGGUGUGAUAAUCGUCUACGCCGUCGGUUGUGAAAGUCGAAACAUACGUGUUCACGCUUCUAAUCGUCCGUCGAGGACAAACUUUUUUCUUGACC